Molecule: ribosomal RNA, 844 nt
Filed under: unidentified
Description: Stilbochaeta ejneri partial large subunit ribosomal RNA
Rfam family: Eukaryotic large subunit ribosomal RNA
Source: RNAcentral
CCAACAGGGAUUGCCUCAGUAACGGCGAGUGAAGCGGCAACAGCUCAAAUUUGAAAUCUGGCCCCCGGCCCGAGUUGUAAUUUGCAGAGGAUGCUUUUGGUGCGGUGCCUUCCAAGUCCCCUGGAACGGGGCGCCAAAGAGGGUGAGAGCCCCGUCUGGUUGGCCGCCAAGCCUGUGUAAAGCUCCUUCGACGAGUCGAGUAGUUUGGGAAUGCUGCUCUAAAUGGGAGGUAGACCCCUUCUAAAGCUAAAUAUUGGCCAGAGACCGAUAGCGCACAAGUAGAGUGAUCGAAAGAUGAAAAGCACUUUGAAAAGAGGGUUAAACAGUACGUGAAAUUGUUAAAAGGGAAGCGCUUGUGACCAGACGUGCGCCGGGUGUUCAGCGGGCGUUCUCGCCCGUGCACUCACCCCGGCGCAGGCCAGCGUCGGUUCGGGUGGGGGGAUAAAGACGCUGGGAAUGUAGCUCCCCCGGGAGUGUUAUAACCUGACGUGUCAUGCCCCCGUCCGGACCGAGGUUCGCGCUCUGCAAGGACGCUGGCGUAAUGGUCCCCAGCGGCCCGUCUUGAAACACGGACCAAGGAGUCGAGGUUUUGCGCGAGUGUUUGGGUGUCAAACCCGCACGCGUAAUGAAAGUGAACGCAGGUGGGAGCUUCGGCGCACCACCGACCGAUCCUGAUGUUCUCGGAUGGAUUUGAGUAGGAGCGUAGGGCCUCGGACCCGAAAGAUGGUGAACUAUACUUGGAUAGGGUGAAGCCAGAGGAAACUCUGGUGGAGGCUCGCAGCGGUUCUGACGUGCAAAUCGAUCGUCAAAUCUGAGUAUGGGGGCGAAAGACUAAUCGAACCAU